GGAGAGAGACAUUCUUAAGACUGCCUUCGUGGAUCACUCUCACAUACAUAAAGAGGGUCGACUUUAUUGCGCGCAGGAGGCAGAGAAGAGGAGGGAGGUGCAGAAUCAGGGACAAGUUCGCUUUUAUAUUUAUUUAUUUUUCGGGGGGGGAAAAAAAACGAGAAGUUUGAAGAGGGCAGCAGAGGGGAGGAGAGAAGGAGGGAGAGAGAGAGAGAGAGAGAGAGAGAGAGAGAGAAUGGGGAAGGAGGAGAACGACUAGAAGAGAGGCGCAGAGAGACGGACGGAUGGAGGAGAAGCGUGCAGCGGCGAGCAGGAGAAACAAAGCGUGCUGACUGAGGACGUGUGCGCGGGCCAUGUGCUCAGGUACGUCCCGUUGACUUCCACUCUCUCUGCAAUGAGUCUUUCUCACGGCUUCUGUCUCCUUCUACGUAGACCAAAGAAUCCACCAACGAGGAGCUCCACACUCGAGGAAGCUGGCUGCAGGUCGGGCGUUUUUUUUCACCACGAGUCCGACCGAAUGCAGAUCUCCGGGGGAUGAAGGUGUCGGCGACGGCGUUUUGUCGAGGCGCCCGUGAGCGACGUGCUCCUCUGAAACCUCUCGUUCACGGGCCCGCCACUCUGGGGGAGCGGCGCGAAAGGUCGCCCGGCGACCGGGCCCGAGGGUCAGCGACUGGUUGGCCCGAUUCAUCACAGCUCAUCCCAGAGACGCCGCCGCACCACCAGAGACGCCAGCGUCCUCCUAAGGUGACGGCCGCUAUUUUCUUUCAGAAAAAAAGCAUUUGUAAAGAAAGCAAAGUGAGACUAGAACAUGGGGAGGGAGUCGUUGUGGAUUUCCCACAGCAACAAGAAACUCGAGUCAAGCGACCGGCUGCUCACACUGAUCAAUGCGGUCAUGGGGCCUCAGGUAUGCAGACCUCUUCACCUGCAUCGUAGGUCAUUAAGGUCAUGUGACAGGCGUGGCCGCCGGCGGCUAGCGCCUCGGGGGGGUUAAAGGGAAAGAAUAACAGGAAUCUGCGAUAACGCUGCCGCUUAGGAGAUGUUCGUCAGCAGAUAAUCUCCCGUGUCCUUCCCUUUCCCCCGGGCGCAUUUUCUUGCUUGGUCUCCUCCUCUCGCCCGGUUCCUCUGUCCUCCUCCUCCUCCUCAUCCUUUUUCUCUCCUCCUCCCAGUCUCACUGCGCCCUCUUCUGCACGUGUUAAUAACGGGGGUCUAUUUGUUCUUUCUCCCACAGGCGGACCCCCCCCCGCCCCCUCCUGCCGAGGAGAACCGGCCGGCCUUUGGCGGUUCACGGCUGCGUGGCUCCUGCCGGUUGCUCAGUAGGCAGUGUAGAUCCUGUGUAGCAAUCAGCAGCUACAUCUGGCUACUGGGUCUCCGGCGGCUCGGCCCACUUCCCCGGUUCCCAUUGGCCCGGUGGCACAUUCCAAUCCCCUCGAUUGGCUGCGGGGUCGGGGAGGAUGAGGGCGUGGAGGGGGGGGGCUUCAUCCUGCGACCCCACAGACAGGAUGUUCUCUGUGUCACAACUCUACAAGGGGCCCUUGUCGAGGCUUUUUGUGUCGCUGUGGUGUUGUGUGUGUGUUUUUUUUUUUAACUCCUUCCUCUAUCGCCAUUCUUUUAAUUCUCUCCCUCCCUCCCGCUCGCUUUCUCUCCCGUUUGCUCUCCCUUCGUGCUCUUUGUGCACGAACAUUGGUGCAUGUCCUUGGUAAACGCUAUGAAAGUUCAACUUUCAAUGUUCCCGGGGACAGAAAUUUCAAGGGGCGAUUCUUGCCGGAGGAGAGUUUGAAAAGCCUCGGCGGUGAAGAGGUGCUCCUUUGCUCCGUCCUGAACCUGGCAUACAAUGUAGAUUUCUGUGUGGUUAAAUUCAACAGCUACAUUGUCUGCUGGGUUUCUGGCCAGUAACAUAAGCGGCGUUUAUGUAACUUCCGCACAAAAAAAAAAGGUAAGUAUUGAUUUGGUUUUUUUUCUGUCAAUGUGCCGCGAAUGCCCGACCCUGACAAUUCAAUAAAGAGGAAAUAUUUCUGAUUAAUCCUA
Non-coding RNA from Gasterosteus aculeatus aculeatus (three-spined stickleback), 2025 nucleotides. The record is from RefSeq and is a predicted model, not a curated record. Lineage: Eukaryota; Metazoa; Chordata; Actinopteri; Perciformes; Gasterosteidae.